RNAcentral lists this transfer RNA (56 nucleotides) under Ictidomys tridecemlineatus (thirteen-lined ground squirrel). Its description in RNAcentral is "Spermophilus tridecemlineatus (thirteen-lined ground squirrel) tRNA". The record is from Rfam by way of RNAcentral. Lineage: Eukaryota; Metazoa; Chordata; Mammalia; Rodentia; Sciuridae.
GGGGGUGUAGCUCAGUGGCAGAGCAUUUGCCUGGUGUGCAUUGAGUUUCAUCCCCA